RNAcentral lists this ribosomal RNA (525 nucleotides) under uncultured bacterium. RNAcentral's name for it is "bacterial SSU rRNA". It matches the Rfam family "Bacterial small subunit ribosomal RNA", at positions 777 to 1304 of the family's 1533-position model. The record is from RNAcentral.
AAUAGAUACCCUGGUAGUCCAUGCCGUAAACGUUGGGAACUAGGUGUGGGUCUCAUUCCACGAGAUCCGUGCCGCAGCUAACGCAUUAAGUUCCCCGCCUGGGGAGUACGGCCGCAAGGCUAAAACUCAAAGGAAUUGACGGGGGCCCGCACAAGCGGCGGAGCAUGCGGAUUAAUUCGAUGCAACGCGAAGAACCUUACCAAGGCUUGACAUAUACCGGAAACAUCUAGAAAUAGGUGCCCCGCAAGGUCGGUAUACAGGUGGUGCAUGGUUGUCGUCAGCUCGUGUCGUGAGAUGUUGGGUUAAGUCCCGCAACGAGCGCAACCCUCGUUCUAUGUUGCCAGCACGUGAUGGUGGGGACUCAUAGGAGACUGCCGGGGGUCAACUCGGAGGAAGGUGGGGAUGACGUCAAAUCAUCAUGCCCCUUAUGUCUUGGGCUUCAGCAUGCUACAAUGGCCGGUACAAGGGCUGCGAAACCGCAAGGUGGAGCGAAUCCAAAAAACCGGUNUCAGUUCGGAUUGGGGU